CAGGGAAAAAAGUAAAAAAAAAAUAAGCAUUAUAAAUAUUCAAAUGAAAAUAUUUAUUGAGUUGUUAGAAUGAAAUUGUCUAGGGUCACACAACCAAUGUUUAAGGCUUCUUCAUGAGAAUAUAAAUAAUGCCUUAAAAUAAAUAACAUAGCUUUUCUUAAAUUCUAAAAAUGUAUACCUGAAUUUAUAAAACCUGCAUGAUUUUAAAACUUAACACUGAAAUAUUAGAAAACAAGAAUGUGUCCAGAGUACACGGAUGCCCCACUCGCACUAUCAUCUUCUAUGUUAAGUGGACCGUGGAAUUGAGGUCAAAACUCUAAUUUGGCAUUAAAAUUAGAAAGAUCAUAUCACAGGGAACAUGUGUUCUAAGUUUCAAGUUAAUUGGACUUCAACUUCAUCAAAAACUACCUUGACCAAAAACUUUAACCUGAAACUUGAACUAUCAUUUUCUAUGUUCAGUGGACCAUGAAACUGGGGUCAAAACUCUAAUUUGGCAUUAAAAUUUGAAAGAUCAUAUCAUAGGGAACAUGUGUACUAAGUUUCAAGUUGAUUGAACUUCAACUUCAUCAAAAACUACCUUGACCAAAAACUUUAACCUGAAACGGGACAGACGGACGAACAGACGAACAAACAGACGGACGCACAGACCAGAAAAAUGAAUAAUCAUUUUUUCAUUAAUCUAAUUAAGAUUUUGCGUUAUUCUAAUCAAAUUUUUAACAUACAUGAAUUAGCAGCACUUACAAAAUAAUUAUGGGUGUUUAUCGUUUUGAAUAGAUGUAUUUCAUGUUUAAAGCCAAUGGUCCCAUUUACUUCUUUAAAUUGAUUGAGGGGUAAAGUUCAUCUACACUAGCCUGUCAACACUUGUAAUUUUAAACCCUGCUUGUUACAUGACAUUUGAUAUUUUUUGGCUGAUUUGUUCAAAUAAUUUAAAUAAUGUAUCUAAUUCAGAAAAAAAAAUAUGUUUUCCUUGUAAGUUUGAUGAAAUACAGAGAUUAAUGUGUUGUGAAUAAUAUGCAAACUGCCAUGUUUUACAGACAACAUUAUUCAAAUACAUUUAGUGUGAAUUUUAUUGUACAUGAGGGAAAGGGGGGGAUAGCAGACUGACAUUAAGGAAACAAAUCUGACCGAUUUUACAGUACAUAAAUCAUAUAUAAUAUGAACUUAAUUUUUCUAUAAAAUUUGUUAUAAAUAAACUCAAAAUAUAAAUCAACCAUGAUAAAAAAAAAAAUAUUUAAUUACCAAUAGC
Molecule: long non-coding RNA, 1246 nt
Filed under: Mytilus galloprovincialis (Mediterranean mussel)
Lineage: Eukaryota; Metazoa; Mollusca; Bivalvia; Mytilida; Mytilidae
Source: RNAcentral